RNAcentral lists this ribosomal RNA (490 nucleotides) under uncultured bacterium. RNAcentral's name for it is "partial 16S ribosomal RNA". It matches the Rfam family "Bacterial small subunit ribosomal RNA", at positions 30 to 507 of the family's 1533-position model. The record is from RNAcentral.
AUUGAACGCUGGCGGCAGGCCUAUCACAUGCAAGUCGAACGGUAACAGGAAGAAGCUUGCUUCUUUGCUGACGAGUGGCGGACGGGUGAGUAAUGUCUGGGAAACUGCCUGAUGGAGGGGGAUAACUACUGGAAACGGUAGCUAAUACCGCAUAAUGUCGCAAGACCAAAGAGGGGGACCUUCGGGCCUCUUGCCAUCGGAUGUGCCCAGAUGGGAUUAGCUAGUAGGUGGGGUAACGGCUCACCUAGGCGACGAUCCCUAGCUGGUCUGAGAGGAUGACCAGCCACACUGGAACUGAGACACGGUCCAGACUCCUACGGGAGGCAGCAGUGGGGAAUAUUGCACAAUGGGCGCAAGCCUGAUGCAGCUAUGCCGCGUGUAUGAAGAAGGCCUUCGGGUUGUAAAGUACUUUCAGCGGGGAGGAAGGGAGUAAAGUUAAUACCUUUGCUCAUUGACGUUACCCGCAGAAGAAGCACCGGCUAACUCCGUG